RNAcentral lists this long non-coding RNA (390 nucleotides) under Trifolium pratense (red clover). Its description in RNAcentral is "long non-coding RNA (TPRA_LNC002661)". The record is from RNAcentral. Lineage: Eukaryota; Viridiplantae; Streptophyta; Magnoliopsida; Fabales; Fabaceae.
CCUUAUAAAAUAUUAUAAGAGAUCUAUUACAUUAAUUAUAUAAACAAAACUACGAUAUAAAUCAACGAAAAAUCUCAUAUUUCUUAACAACUUUUUAUUUUAUUUUUAUACACAUACUAAUAUUAAAUAUAAUCAUAUUUCAAAUUAAUAUCUAUCUUUUAACUAUAUGUGAUUAUAUACUUAUCACAAUUAUUAUUUUUCAUUUAAAAAAUAUUUUAAUCGAACCCGUGCAACGCACGGGUUUUUCCCUAGUUGUAAUUAACAUAAAACGUUACAAAGUUAAACACUUUUCAAUAGGAAUGGACCAACAAUAUUUGAUGACUAAUUCAAUGAUAAAUUAAUAAUAUAAUAAUUAACUUUAAAAUAAAUUAUAUAUGAAAAUAUCCAACA